RNA transcript from Macaca mulatta (Rhesus monkey), 2728 nucleotides. It is a transcript of the gene named prolyl 3-hydroxylase 3, with no coding region annotated. NCBI's taxonomy places the organism in Eukaryota, Metazoa, Chordata, Mammalia, Primates, Cercopithecidae. The record is from RefSeq and is a predicted model, not a curated record.
UCCCCCCUUUCCUCUCCCUCCCUCUCGGCUCCCGCAUUUUCCCUCGGCGGCCGGCGGCUCCGACAUCAUGCUCCGGCUCCUCCGGCCGCUGCUGUUACUGCUGCUGCUGCCUCCCCCGGGGUCCCCUGAGCCCCCCGGCCUGGCCCAGCUGUCCCCGGGAGCGCCCCCGCAGGCUCCCGACUUGCUCUACGCGGACGGGCUGCGCGCCUACGCUGCCGGGGCUUGGGCGCCGGCCGUGGCGCUGCUGCGGGAGGCGCUGCGGAGCCAGGCGGCGCUGGGCCGGGUGCGGCUGGAUUGCGGGGCGAGCUGCGCGGCCGAGCCGGGCGCCGCGCUCCCCGCCGUGCUUCUCGGGGCCCCGGAGCCCGACUCCGGGCCGGGACCCACGCAGGGGUCCUGGGAGCGACAGCUCCUCCGUGCAGCGCUCCGCCGCGCAGACUGCCUGACCCAGUGCGCAGCACGGAGGCUGGGCCCCGGGGGCGCGGCGCGGCUUCGCGUGGGGAGCACGCUCCGGGACGCCUUCCGCCGUCGGGAGCCCUACAACUACCUGCAGAGGGCCUAUUACCAGUUGAAGAAGCUGGAUCUGGCAGCCGCCGCAGCACACACCUUCUUUGUAGCAAACCCUAUGCACCUGCAGAUGCGAGAGGACAUGGCUAAGUACAGACGAAUGUCGGGAGUUCAGCCCCAGAGCUUCCGGGACCUGGAGACGCCGCCACACUGGGCAGCCUAUGACACCGGCCUGGAGCUACUGGAGCGCCAGGAGGCAGGACUGGCACUGCCCAGGCUAGAGGAGGCCCUGCAGGGGAGCCUGGCCCAGAUGGAGAGCUGCCGUGCUGACUGCCAGGGGCCUGAGGAGCAGGAGGGGGCUGAAGAAGAGGAGGAUGAGGCUGGGAGCCAGGGGGGCCUCUAUGAGGCCAUUGCAAGACACUGGAUUCAGGUCCUGCAGUGCCGGCAACGCUGUGUAGGGGAAACAGCCACACGCCCUGGUCGCAGCUUCCCUGUCCCAGACUUCCUUCCCAGCCAGCUGAGGCGGCUACAUGAGGCCCAUGCUCAGGUGGGCAAUCUGUCCCAGGCUAUAGAAAAUGUCCUGAGUGUCCUGCUCUUCUACCCGGAUGAUGAGGCUGCCAAGAGGGCUCUGAACCAGUACCAGGCCCAGCUGGGAGAGCCGAGACCUGGCCUCGGACCCAGAGAGGACAUCCAACGCUUCAUCCUCCGAUCCCUGGGGGAGAAGAGGCAGCUCUACUAUGCCAUGGAGCACCUGGGGACCAGCUUCAAGGAUCCUGACCCCUGGACCCCUGCAGCUCUCAUCCCUGAGGCACUUAGAGAAAAGCUCAGAGAGGAUCAAGAGAAGAGGCCUUGGGACCAUGAGCCCCCGAAGCCAAAGCCCUUGACCUACUGGAAGGAUGUCCUUCUCCUGGAGGGUGUGACCUUGACCCAGGAUUCCAGGCAGCUGAAUGGGUCGGAGCGGGCGGUGUUGGAUGGGCUGCUCACCCCAGCCGAGUGUGGGGUGCUGCUGCAGCUGGCUAAGGAUGCAGCUGGGGCUGGAGCCAGGUCUGGCUAUCGUGGUCGCCGCUCCCCUCACACCCCCCAUGAACGCUUCGAGGGGCUCACAGUGCUUAAGGCUGCACAGCUGGCCCGGGCUGGGACAGUGGGCACUCAGGGGGCUAAGCUGCUUCUGGAGGUGAGCGAGCGGGUGCGGACCUUGACCCAGGCCUACUUCUCCCCGGAACGGCCCCUGCAUCUGUCCUUCACCCACCUGGUGUGCCGCAGCGCCAUAGAAGGAGAGCAAGAGCAGCGCAUGGACCUGAGUCACCCAGUGCACGCAGACAACUGCGUCCUGGACCCCGACACAGGAGAGUGCUGGCGGGAGCCCCCAGCCUACACCUAUCGGGACUACAGUGGACUCCUCUACCUCAACGAUGACUUCCAGGGUGGGGACCUGUUCUUCACGGAGCCCAACGCCCUCACUGUCACAGGAGUGAGGGCCAAGUUCUCUGAGAGAGCCGGUCCCUGGAGCUGAACCUGCCCUCAUCCCCCCAGGCUCGGGUGCGUCCUCGCUGUGGACGCCUUGUAGCCUUCAGCUCCGGUGGGGAGAAUCCCCAUGGGGUGUGGGCCGUGACUCGGGGACGGCGCUGUGCCCUGGCGCUGUGGCACACAUGGGCACCUGAGCACAGGGAGCAGGAGUGGAUAGAAGCCCAAGAACUGCUGCAGGAGUCAGAGGAGGAGGAGGAGGAGGAAGAGGAAGAAAUGCCCAGCAAAGACCCUUCCCCAGAGCCCCCUAGCCGCAGGCACCAGAGGGUCCAAGACAAGGCUGGAAAGGCACCUCGGGUUCGGGAGGAGCUGUGAGUGGCUGAGCCAGCUCCUUGAGGAUGGGGCCACUUGACUUGUGCAAGGCCAUCUUGAUGCCAGGACCCACAGAAAGCCCCUGCGUGACAUCAGGAGCAGAACAGCAAGCUCUCUGUCCCUGCACCCCCACCAUCUUGGGGACCCACAAGGGCCUGGACUCAGAGGACAAUGCACAGGGUAGCCUGGAGCUCACCAGGGCUGGGGAGCCGGGACUGGGCCCAGCUGCCAGACCUGCAGCCCCGGACAGAUGGGGAACACUGUGUCUCCCUGAACGGAAAUGGCAGGGGAGGAGGCUGAUGCUUUACAUGAAGAGGAUGGUGGGGUUGGGGGCAUAACCCUGCUGCUCUCUCCCACUCUGUGCAAUAAAGGUCAUGAAGAUCCCUCA